RNAcentral lists this ribosomal RNA (440 nucleotides) under uncultured bacterium. Its description in RNAcentral is "partial 16S ribosomal RNA". It matches the Rfam family "Bacterial small subunit ribosomal RNA", at positions 338 to 795 of the family's 1533-position model. The record is from RNAcentral.
CCUACGGGUGGCAGCAGUGGGGGAUAUUGCACAAUGGGGGGAACCCUGAUGCAGCGACGCCGCGUGGGUGAAGAAGCGCCUCGGCGCGUAAAGCCCUGUCAGCAGGGAAGAAAAUGACGGUACCUGCAGAAGAAGCCCCGGCUAACUACGUGCCAGCAGCCGCGGUAAUACGUAGGGGGCAAGCGUUAUCCGGAUUUACUGGGUGGAAAGGGGGCGCAGACGGCGAUGCAAGCCAGGAGUGAAAGCCCGGGGCCCAACCCCGGGACUGCUCUGGGAACUGGGUGGCUGGAGUGCAGGAGGGGCAGGCGGAAUUCCUGGUGUAGCGGUGAAAUGCGUAGAUAUCAGGAGGAACACCGGUGGCGAAGGCGGCCUGCUGGACUGCAACUGACGUUGAGGCCCGAAAGCGUGGGGAGCAAACAGGAUUAGAUACCCCUGUAGUC